This is a long non-coding RNA of Magnolia sinica, 534 nucleotides long. RefSeq lists it as uncharacterized. The record is from RefSeq and is a predicted model, not a curated record. The transcript has 2 exons. Lineage: Eukaryota; Viridiplantae; Streptophyta; Magnoliopsida; Magnoliales; Magnoliaceae.
CCUUAUCAUUUAACAUAUGAAGGUGUGUUCUUUCAAACUAUAUUAUGUUCAAUAUCUUUGAAUUGUUUUAGAUGAUGGACAAAAAACAAAAUGUCAGGGGGAGAAAGUACUACAAGAUUUUAACAUCCAAGAUGAAGCCAAGGGCUCCAAAAGAGCUGUUAUAAAAACGUUCAUGGCAAAUGUGACAGACACAACCAUGGAGAUCCACUUCUUUUGGGUUGGAAAAGGGACUUGUUGCAUUCCAUUUCAAGUAACUUUCGGGCCGCUAGUGUCAGCCAUACAUGUUUCUCUAGAGUCCUCUAGUGGUGGUUCGCCCUCGAAUAAUUACAGAAGACGUAUAGGAGAAGUUAUCGGUAUAGCUAUCGGAUGUGUAGGUGGACUACUGAUACUCGCAUCCAUUUUCUAUUUAUGGUGGAUGAAGGAUGCACCUGGCCAUAUGCGAGUGCACACAAACUCACUAAGAUUUGUAUUUUCAGCAUUAUUGUAAUUGUAAUUGUGAUUGAUUGAAUGAAGGAUUGUAAUUGAUUCAUCAUU